AUUAAGCCUACCAAGGCAUCGAUCAGUAGCUGGUCUGAGAGGACGACCAGCCACACUGGAACUGAGACACGGUCCAGACUCCUACGGGAGGCAGCAGUGGGGAAUUUUGGACAAUGGGCGAAAGCCUGAUCCAGCAAUGCCGCGUGAGUGAAGAAGGCCUUCGGGUUGUAAAGCUCUUUUGUCAGGGAAGAAACGGUGAAAGCUAAUAUCUUUUGCUAAUGACGGUACCUGAAGAAUAAGCACCGGCUAACUACGUGCCAGCAGCCGCGGUAAUACGUAGGGUGCAAGCGUUAAUCGGAAUUACUGGGCGUAAAGCGUGCGCAGGCGGUUUUGUAAGUCUGAUGUGAAAUCCCCGGGCUCAACCUGGGAAUUGCAUUGGAGACUGCAAGGCUAGAAUCUGGCAGAGGGGGGUAGAAUUCCACGUGUAGCAGUGAAAUGCGUAGAUAUGUGGAGGAACACCGAUGGCGAAGGCAGCCCCCUGGGUCAAGAUUGACGCUCAUGCACGAAAGCGUGGGGAGCAAACAGGAUUAGAUACCCUGGUAGUCCACGCCCUAAACGAUGUCUACUAGUUGUCGGGUCUUAAUUGACUUGGUAACGCAGCUAACGCGUGAAGUAGACCGCCUGGGGAGUACGGUCGCAAGAUUAAAACUCAAAGGAAUUGACGGGGACCCGCACAAGCGGUGGAUGAUGUGGAUUAAUUCGAUGCAACGCGAAAAACCUUACCUACCCUUGACAUGGCUGGAAUCCUUGAGAGAUCAGGGAGUGCUCGAAAGAGAACCAGUACACAGGUGCUGCAUGGCUGUCGUCAGCUCGUGUCGUGAGACGUUGGGUUAAGUCCCGCAACGAGCGCAACCCUUGUCAUUAGUUGCUACGAAAGGGCACUCUAAUGAGACUGCCGGUGACAAACCGGAGGAAGGUGGGGAUGACGUCAAGUCCUCAUGGCCCUUAUGGGUAGGGCUUCACACGUCAUACAAUGGUACAUACAGAGCGCCGCCAACCCGCGAGGGGGAGCUAAUCGCAGAAAGUGUAUCGUAGUCCGGAUUGUAGUCUGCAACUCGACUGCAUGAAGUUGGAAUCGCUAGUAAUCGCGGAUCAGCAUGUCGCGGUGAAUACGUUCCCGGGUCUUGUACACACCGCCCGUCACACCAUGGGAGCGGGUUUUACCAGAAGUAGGUAGCUUAACCGCAAGGAGGGCGCUUACCACGGUAGGAUUCGUGACUGGGGUGAAGUCGUAACAAGGUAACCAAUC
This 1249-nucleotide ribosomal RNA is filed under the name Janthinobacterium sp. ZS20-3. Its description in RNAcentral is "bacterial SSU rRNA". It matches the Rfam family "Bacterial small subunit ribosomal RNA", at positions 258 to 1505 of the family's 1533-position model. The record is from RNAcentral. Lineage: Bacteria; Pseudomonadati; Pseudomonadota; Betaproteobacteria; Burkholderiales; Oxalobacteraceae.